UCGAGUUUCUGGUGGGAGUGAGUCGUCUAGCACGAGCAGAGAGGUUCGGGGAGAUGUGGUGGGGGCAAGUCAACAGCCGAUGGUGGGGAUGGAAUACCGGGUAGCGCGAGAGGGAAGCCGAUAGCGAGAGCAGGAGAGAGUUAGAUGGUGGAGAGGGAGCGAGAGGCCGCCGAAAGCGCAUAGCGGCCCAUAAUUCGGUGCGCCGCCCCGCAAUCAGGUUCGUGCUCGAUGUUUCUAACCGCCUCGCUCGUCGCAACCGGGAGAGAGAGACGGUAGUGCACGUUUUUACGUUUGUUCGUCAGCUACGUUUGACUAAGUACAGUCCGGGAUAGAACGGAGCACGUCUCGCGCGCUCUAUUUUUCUAUAUUUUUUUGUUCUCUUUUCUCGGUUUACCCGUUCUUUUCCACGGCGGAUCGUAAUCUCGUCGCUCGCGCGUCCCUCUUGUUUAUUUGUCCGAUAGAUACGCGGCUGACAGAGACGCUAUUCUCUCGGGAAUCUUUAGUUUAUACAUAUUUCGUAUCGUCGUGUGGAAAAGCCGGAAAGGCUUGUCGAAGGCUACGUUUGUCUAUCCGGGGGAUACGAAGGACUAACGAGUGUGAGGGAAAGCCUGUUAAACACACACGGAAAGGAAGAAGAAGGAACGCAGUGGCUCGCCGGUGUAGACUCGCAACAGAGAAGAGCGCGCGUCUCGCUGCCAGUCAACCAGUCGGCCAUUCAGUCAGUCAGUCGAUCAUUCAGUCAGUGCCGGUUCUACACUCCGAACGUUUUCUUCUCUCUGUCUGUUUAUAUUCAGUCCCGAGUUCCUCAAUGGUGGCUGUCUCGAUGUGUUUUGCUGGCAACCAACGAUAAUCCUUUGUCUGUAAGUGAAACGAGAAACGGGAACACGAAGAGAACCGAUCGAAAACUUGGAUCCUAUUGGUGGUGUUGUACGAUUUUUGUGUUCCAUCGUUGAAGACACAAAUACGCACGAAGUACACGAUAUCCCUGGCCAAAAGCUCGGAAGGAAAAUGUGCCGCCAACGGACACGGCCAGUGAAUUGAUAAAUUUCAUACGUGAUGAUUUUCUUACGUUAGCAAUUCGUUGAUUGUUGGUGAUGAUUGUGCUGGUUCGCUAUGUACACGCCUUCACGUCGUGAGCGUCGUCGUUAAAAAAAAGGAGGAAGGAGGAGGGAGCCUUUUCCGCCGAUUCAAACGUCCAUCCUUAAACAUCUCUCGUCGUGUCUUUCUUCCCUUGGUCCACGUAUAGUCACAAGAGGAGAGAUCGAGGCGGGUAAAUAGGCGAAGCGAGGGCGAUCGAAGCAAAAGGGACGAUCGAGGAGGAGGAGGAGGAGGAGGAGGAGGAGGAGGAGGAAGUGGAGAUAACAAGGGCAUGAUAAGCAAGGACACGGGCGUUGGACGAAUAUCAGGUGACACGGUAGACGGUAUUCAAGAAAGGUUGAGCGUCCAGGAAGGAAGGAGGAAGGUGUAUCGACAGAUUCGCCGUCUUGUCUCACGGCAACGGAUGUCGGAAUGACGCGUCGAUCAAGCCGUGGCUGGGCAGAGGGUGCAAGGACUUCGUUAAACGGAAGAAAGUGAUAGUCGUGGCUCGCUUCGGAGGAGGCGGAGAGGCGGAGUUCGUUGGAGAAGGGAGAGGAAGAAGAAGGAAGCGUCGGAGAUCGUCGAACUUAUUAGGUAACAAGAUAAGAAGCGAUUGUGGGCUCAUUGUCUCGUCACUCUCCAGCAACGGCGACGGAUAACGUCCUCUCGUCGUUAUCAUGAUGUUAUCGUUAUGAGAUUCAUCGUAUUUCCUUAUACCUGACAGUCAAGAAUACUGUUCGAUUACUUCUUCGAACGGACGAGAGGAGAAUAAAAUAGAAGGGAUCUCGAGCGGACCAAGUAAAAAAAAAAAAAAAAAAAAUCACGAAAAUCACUAUAUAAGAGGACACAGAAAAAGGAAAAAGAAACGAGACUACCAAAGAAUUUGAUUCGGGGAGGAAGAGGGGUCAAAGUUAACUGACCGAAAGCACACAGUAGCAAAGGAAACAGUGAUCUCGUUUAACCUUGAAGAGGAGAAAGAAGAGAGAGAAAGAGCAUCGUAAAUCGUAGAACGUAAUCGCGCAAGGACAGGCACACGACUGUCCGUGUGGCUGUUGCGUUGGAAGGGUGCCGAUAAAAGAAUAGAGGGGUGCGUGGUGAAACGCGACGAGAGGGUGAAGUGAAGGUGUCCUCGUGGGGUGCCAGAGUGAGCACGAUAGCACCUCUGGUGCCCUCGGCCGUGGGUCCCGAGGGGACGGACGCCAUGGCGGCCUCUUCGUCCUCGUCGAGCGGCGAGCAACAGUACUCACUCAGGUGGAACGACUUCCACUCGAGCAUCCUCAGCUCAUUUCGUCAUCUCAGGGACGAGGAGGAUUUCGUGGACGUGACCCUGGCAUGCGACAGUAGCAGCUUCACCGCGCACAAGGUCGUUCUCUCUGCGUGUAGUCCUUACUUCCGCCGCCUCCUCAAGGCCAAUCCAUGCCAGCAUCCGAUCGUGAUCCUGAGGGACGUCGCCUCGUCGGACAUGGAGUCGUUGCUGCGCUUCAUGUACCACGGAGAGGUGCACGUAGGUCAGGAACAGCUCGCCGCGUUCCUAAAGACGGCGCAGAUGCUUCAGGUUCGAGGGUUGGCCGAUGUGAACAGCGGCGCUGCCAAAAUUCCUCCUCCCUCGUCCUCCGGCGGGAACAAUGGCAGUGCGCCGGCGACACCGCGCAAUCCUUGGCAAGACAACGGCAGAGGAGAGUUGAACGAGAGCGGUCUGAGCCCACCACCAGAGAAGAGACCUAGAAGCUAUAGCCCACCGUUGGGUAACCACGUGGAGCCCAAGACCGACCUUCAAGAAUCGCUUUUGGGCCAGGCAUUGGCGGAGGGACCUACGAUACACACGACACCCACGAACAACGUUCAGGCGCAAUCUACCGGCGAGGACUCGAAUUCCAUGUCGGACAACGAGGAGGAGAUGUCGAAUAACGACAGCAUCCUGAACUCGGUGAAGACCGAGCCAAGCGACAUCCUGAAUGAUUCUAUGGAACAUCACCGUAAUUCGUUUCCGGCGCUCUUGGGAAUACCAGGACUGAUACCAGGACCGUCCGGGAUCCACGCGGCGAAUCAGGAUCCGAAUUACGGGCGAUGGCAGCCCUCUGGAGGAGACGGUUCAAGCUCGAGUUCCGGUUGGUUGCCGGGUACGUCCUCCACGAGGAACGAGCACGCCGGGUCUGGAACUUACCAGAGCGGAGUUCACAACUCGAAAGGUCAGGAUCUGUCGUCUCUGCUCCAGCAGCAUCACCAUCACCAUCACCUCCACGCCACCAGCCAAGCGUCGCAGCAACACGCCCUAAAUGCCCUGAACUCGCUCAACUCCCUGAAUACCGAGCAGCUGUCGAUCAUGCAUCAAAAGUUGCAGAACAAUCUGCAAACGUUGCAGCAACAACAACAAACAGCGUCCGCGAAAAACGAACUGAAUCUGAUGCUUCAAUCGUGCGCCAAGGAGAAGAUUCAAGAGAGUAUGGCGUUGUUCCAUCAACAGACCCAUCAACAGCGUCGGUUCCACCAGCAGACCGACAACGCGAGCCAAUCCGGUAAACCGAAGUGUCCGGAGUGCGGGAAAAUCUAUUCGAACAAUUCGAACCUGAAGCAGCACAUCGUGAACGUGCACACGGUUCAAACGGAGUACGUCUCGUGUCACGUGUGCAGCAAGCAGUUCAAGACGAAACAAUACCUCCAGAUACAUCUGUUGUCGAUGCACGGUAUCCGGAAACGGAAGAGCUACCCGUUGUAUCAGAUGCAGACACAGAUGCAACAACAGCAGCAGCAGCAAUCGUCGGGCGGCCAAGUGUCCGGCGGUCAGCAGCAAUCGCAACAGCAAUAUCCGGCUCCGGAGAGAUGGUCCGGAGGAGAGGACAAACAGUGAUCGAAACGCGUGUCUCGUGUAUCGUUGAUCGAUCGAAGAACCACGCCAGAGACACGUGUGCCUCCCUUGGACCACGUAUAUAGGGGUGAAAAAGGGAAUAGAGAGGGUCGAUGAGAGUGGAUGCUGGUAAUCUGUAUAGUUGGCCCUGGAGGAACUCUGAUAGAUAGCUCGGAAUUAUUUGGGAUUAAGACAACUACGACCUCGCAAUAAUCUUUGUAGUAGAUUUUAUUGUACAUACGCGAAUCGAAAACGUGCGUAUAGGGAAAUCACGGGCUCGAUGAGGCAGAGGGCGCGGCUUACCACCACCACCACAGCCAUCACCAGCAACAUCAUCGGCAUCGUCAU
RNAcentral lists this unclassified non-coding RNA (4270 nucleotides) under Apis dorsata (giant honeybee). Its description in RNAcentral is "protein abrupt-like, transcript variant X3". Lineage: Eukaryota; Metazoa; Arthropoda; Insecta; Hymenoptera; Apidae. The record is from RNAcentral.